UCUCUCUCCUCUCUCUCUAUAUGCUAUACUUUAUAAGGAGUUCCUAUGCAAUUUUUCAAUCUGAAAUUUAAACUGACAUUUUUCUCUUUAUUAUAAUUGUUUAGGGUGGAAUAAUUUCACUACCAUCACAUACAUUGUUCCUCUAUGUUUCUGAUAAAACCUACCGCUUAAUUGGAAUGCUGUUACCUUAUGAGAACAUGGAGUUUAGGCCAUCAAUACCCAAUCAGCAGCUGCAAGAACAAUUGUCUCCCCAAGUAGAGCAGCUGCUCGAACAACCAAUUACUGGGGCGCGUUACCAGGAAUUCCUAGAAUUCAACAGCAGUUCUGGUUAAUUAAAUGUGACAAUAAAUUUGACAAGUAGCCAUUGCAGAAAUUGCUAUUACUUGGCUAUCGAAUUUUAAACACUUUCUUCAUGCAGUGUGGAGAGUAAUUGGCUGCCCAAUAUGACUAUUGUUCUUCAUCUCCAAACCCAAACCUAACAUUGUGGGUUUCUUGUUCGUUAUUCCUGUUGACCAUUUUGGAUUUACAGUUUGAAGAAACACAAGUUUCAUUGUUGUUA
Solanum dulcamara is the source of this 559-nucleotide long non-coding RNA. RefSeq lists it as uncharacterized. The record is from RefSeq and is a predicted model, not a curated record. The transcript is spliced from 2 exons. NCBI's taxonomy places the organism in Eukaryota, Viridiplantae, Streptophyta, Magnoliopsida, Solanales, Solanaceae.